RNAcentral lists this ribosomal RNA (498 nucleotides) under uncultured bacterium. Its description in RNAcentral is "partial 16S ribosomal RNA". It matches the Rfam family "Bacterial small subunit ribosomal RNA", at positions 28 to 507 of the family's 1533-position model. The record is from RNAcentral.
GACGAACGCUGGCGGCGUGCCUAACACAUGCAAGUCGAACGAGAGCGCCCGGUGCUUGCCCUGGUCAAGCUAGUGGCGAACGGGUGAGUAACACGUGUAUCACCUGCUCAUCAGUGGGGGAUCACAUUCGGAAACGGUUGCUAAAACCGCAUAGGUCUUCGAACCGCAUGGUUUGAAGAGGAAUAGAGGCGCACGCUUCUGCUGAUGCCUGUACCCGCGUUGCAUUUGCUAGUUGGGGGGGUAACGGCUCACCAAGGCCGUGAUGCGUAGCCGACCUGAGAGGGUGAUCGGCCACAUUGGGACUGAGACACGGCCCAGACUCCUACGGGAGGCAGCAGUAGGGAAUCUUCCGCAAUGGGCGCAAGUCUGACGGAGCAACGCCGCGUGAGUGAAGAAGGUGUUCGGAUCGUAAAACUCUUUUGUUAGGGAAGAAUAGGUGCUAGAGUAAACGUUGCGGCCUUGACGGUAUCUAAAGAAGAAGCAACGGCUAACUACGUG